This 478-nucleotide ribosomal RNA is filed under the name Cellulomonas carbonis T26. RNAcentral's name for it is "bacterial SSU rRNA". It matches the Rfam family "Bacterial small subunit ribosomal RNA", at positions 1074 to 1533 of the family's 1533-position model. The record is from RNAcentral. Lineage: Bacteria; Bacillati; Actinomycetota; Actinomycetes; Micrococcales; Cellulomonadaceae.
GUUGGGUUAAGUCCCGCAACGAGCGCAACCCUCGUCCUAUGUUGCCAGCACGUCAUGGUGGGGACUCAUAGGAGACUGCCGGGGUCAACUCGGAGGAAGGUGGGGAUGACGUCAAAUCAUCAUGCCCCUUAUGUCUUGGGCUUCACGCAUGCUACAAUGGCCGGUACAAAGGGCUGCGAUACCGCGAGGUGGAGCGAAUCCCAAAAAGCCGGUCUCAGUUCGGAUUGGGGUCUGCAACUCGACCCCAUGAAGUCGGAGUCGCUAGUAAUCGCAGAUCAGCAACGCUGCGGUGAAUACGUUCCCGGGCCUUGUACACACCGCCCGUCAAGUCACGAAAGUCGGUAACACCCGAAGCCGGUGGCCCAACCCUUGUGGAGGGAGCCGUCGAAGGUGGGACCAGCGAUUGGGACUAAGUCGUAACAAGGUAGCCGUACCGGAAGGUGCGGCUGGAUCACCUCCUUUCUAAGGAGCUUCUGGC